GGUAUCCAUAGAUACAAGGCCAAGGAGAAGGAUCUGAUUGGCCAGCUCUGGGUUGCAUGCCCGCUACUGUGAGGGCAGAAGGGUUUCAUGAUUGGCUGUUGCCUUGGAGUCAUUUAGAUGGGGUAAGGAAAUUCCUCAAAGGAAAGAGUAUGUGAAUGCUAUCACAGAAUAGGUAUUUUUGAGAUUGGAGAGUCCCAGCAACAGUUUCACAUCUUAAGAAGUCUACUUCUUUCUUACGGGAUUAUCCAAGUUCUGAGAACAGGGUGAGACUCUGUUUCUCAUCAGAAGCUGCUCAGAGAUGGAUAGAAGACCAGAAAUAUAACAGAAGAAUUCUGUCAUGUGUUUUAUCUAUAAAGAUGCAAGCAACUUCAUAUACUUUUAAAUGAUUAAACCAAUGUGUUUAUUUUCAUUUUAAAUUUUCUUUAUUAUCUAUGUGUUUAUUAUCCACUGAGUCAAUG
This is a long non-coding RNA of Peromyscus eremicus (cactus mouse), 458 nucleotides long. RefSeq lists it as uncharacterized. The transcript has 3 exons. Lineage: Eukaryota; Metazoa; Chordata; Mammalia; Rodentia; Cricetidae. The record is from RefSeq and is a predicted model, not a curated record.